GACGAACCGAGCGAACGUUAUUCGGAAUCACUGGGCUUAAAGGGCGCGUAGGCGGGCCGUCAAGUCGAGGGUGAAAGCCCCCAGCUCAACUGGGGAAGUGCCUUUGAUACUGGCGGUCUCGAGGGGGAUAGGGGCGUGCGGAACUUCCGGUGGAGCGGUGAAAUGCGUAGAGAUCCUGAGGAACACCGGUGGCGAAAGCGGCGUGCUGGACACCUUCUGACGCUGAGGCGCGAAAGCCAGGGGAGCGAACGGG
This 253-nucleotide ribosomal RNA is filed under the name uncultured bacterium. Its description in RNAcentral is "partial 16S ribosomal RNA". It matches the Rfam family "Bacterial small subunit ribosomal RNA", at positions 524 to 776 of the family's 1533-position model. The record is from RNAcentral.